GAGUUUGAUCUUGGCUCAGAGUGAACGCUGGCGGCAGGCCUAACACAUGCAAGUCGAACGGCAGCGCAGCAGUAGCAAUACUGUGGGCGGCGAGUGGCGGACGGGUGAGGAAUACAUCGGAAUCUACCUUGUCGUGGGGGAUAACGUAGGGAAACUUACGCUAAUACCGCAUACGACCUACGGGUGAAAGCGGCGGACCGCAAGGCGUCGCGCGAUUGGAUGAGCCGAUGUCCGAUUAGCUAGUUGGCGGGUAAGAGCCCACCAAGGCGACGAUCGGUAGCUGGUCUGAGAGGAUGAUCAGCCACACUGGAACUGAGACACGGUCCAGACUCCUACGGGAGGCAGCAGUGGGGAAUAUUGGACAAUGGGCGCAAGCCUGAUCCAGCCAUGCCGCGUGUGUGAAGAA
Molecule: ribosomal RNA, 406 nt
Filed under: uncultured Gammaproteobacteria bacterium
Lineage: Bacteria; Pseudomonadati; Pseudomonadota; Gammaproteobacteria
Description: bacterial SSU rRNA
Rfam family: Bacterial small subunit ribosomal RNA
Source: RNAcentral